Homo sapiens (human) is the source of this 2381-nucleotide long non-coding RNA. Ensembl annotates it as long intergenic non-protein coding RNA 1634. NCBI's taxonomy places the organism in Eukaryota, Metazoa, Chordata, Mammalia, Primates, Hominidae. The record is from Ensembl.
AGGAGGGACCUUGAUAAACUAGAGUUCAUCCACCAGAGGAGGAGGCUGCAGGCCUUGGGCACUGCUCAGCAGGAUGAGGGGCCACUGCAGUUGAGCAUGUCUAGCCUGGAGUCUUCUGAAGAACAUGAUUAUUGACUUUAUGUAUAGGAAUGGCUGCCAAUGAAGAAGAGAAUAUUGAAAGUCAGAAGCAUGCUAUCACAUAACUCUGCAUUUCAUCGGGCCGAGAAAGCACAGGUUUUCAGGACCACAGUUCCCAUUUCUCCUGUUCUGCAGUCCUCGUCUGAUUGGCCAACACUAUGGGCACUCCCUGCUCUGGUGGCCACUGGCAGUGGGCCAGGGUGAGGGCAGCUCACAGCCCGUCUCCUCUCUGUUACCUUGGGACGUCACUCAGCAGUUGCAUCACCGGCUGCUCUCUCCCUCUGAAACAUGAAGCCCUUCCUUUCUUAUUCCACCUUAGGGAAGCCUGGGCCUGCGACAGACCAGAAGACCUCACAUUCCACAGAGAAGACCUCGGUUUCCCCCCAAGCUCUGUCCAGUAUGGAGUGACAAAUCGCUGUACUUAUGAGACAAAGGCAUGAAGUCCAGGUCAAGGCAUGACUUUUCGGCAGCAACUUUUCUAGAUGUGAGGUAUCAGUAAACAUUUAUGGUGCUUCUGUUAUGGAUACAAUACAAGGAUGUAAAAGAAAAUAAGUAUGAGGCUCAUCCUCCUGGGAACUCACAUUUUCACUGGGGCUACAAGACCCCCGGAGCAAAUGCCAGGCACAAGAUCGGGGAUAAAAGCCUAACUUUGAGAAGCUUGCUUUGGCUAAAACCGAAAUCAAUUAUGAAGCAAAGGAAGUGGAUUAGAGGGAGAUCUUAUGAAAUCCCAUCAGAUUUGGAUCAUGCUACUGAGUUUUUUUCUUCCUGGCUGUAUUUUAGGUUUUCUCUCCCACUGAAACUGAUUAAUCGUUGUCAAAAUUCCUCCCUUGUACCCUUCUCUCUAUGGGAGGGCUGUCCCUUGGCUGGCCUGGGAUGCAGGAAUAGCUUUUGUGCACCCUUUGGUGUCCACUUCUGUGUGUCUCUCUUGGUGGCACUGCUUCCCUAUCUCUGCUUGCUCUGACCACCUUCAGGCUCCUAGGACCCUACCCUCUCAAAUUUCCUCCUCCCCUGCGUCCCCCUUUCCCAUUCAAAGCCCACAGCACAUCUCAGUUAGUGCUAUGGAAAAAACUAGCCUCAGAAACGAAUAUUCACUGACAUGUCAAGGUCUAGUAGUUUGUAGAGCCAUUUUAUUGGAAGGGACUUCAGAAAGGAAUUAGUUUACCUACUCAUCAGGUGAGGAGACCCACAGAGGGGAAGUCACCUGCCUGACUCCCAGAGACAGAAACAGUGCUGGGACUAAAACCCAAGAAGGGUCCUGACUCCCAAGUCCCAGGAACUUAAUUUUCCCCCAGGGAAUGGCCCACCACCCACCCAGAUGUAAAAACUAGAGACUCUGGGCAGCAUUCUAUCUCUAUGCCAGCCUCCAGUCUCCUGUCUAUUUUGCCUCCAAGAUACAUCUCUAAUUUGCCCACUUUUCUUGAACUUCACAUCACCGAUCUGGUACAAGCCAUCAUCAUCUCCUUGCUUGGGCCUACCAAGACACUAAUCACUGUUCUUUUUGUUUUGUUUUGUUUGUUUUUGAGACAGAGUCUCAUUCUUAUCACCCAGGCUGGAGUACAGUGGCAUGAUCUCAGCUCACUGCAACCUCUGCCUCCCAUGUUCAAGCGAUUCUCCUGCCUCAGCCUCCCAAGAAGCUGGGAUUAUUGGCAUGCGCCACCACACCAGGCUAACUUCAUAUUUUUAGUAGAGAUGGGGUUUCACCCUGUUGGCCAGGCUGGUCUUGAACUCCUGACCUCAGGUGAUCCACCUGCCUCGGCCUCCCGAAGUGCUGGCAUUACAGGCAUGAACCACCAUGGCAGGCUGACUUUCAUUCUUUCUCUAGUAUUAUUAGAAUAUUCCCAAAUAAUAUUCCAUUGUGUAUAUAUUCCACAUUUUGCUCAUUGGUUUCUCAUGGUCCGAUCUGAGCUUUGGGUAGAUCUGGCUAUAGGCAGAUAAUCCCUGAGACAUACUGCUAAAUGGGAACAGCAGAUGCAGAACAGUGUGUAUGAUACGCUACCACUUCUGCUGGAAAACGUCAAACAGGCACGUGUGCAUACAUAUGUACGUGGACUUGGAAAGGCAUAGACCGUCUUUGAGAAUACUCAAGAAGUGGUUAUCUUGGGUAGGAGAGCUGGUGGCGGGGGACAGAAAUGGAAAGGAGACUUAUUUUUCACUGGAUAUGCUUUUGUACAUUUUAUGGCUUAUUAAUAAUGAUUUUAUAAUUAUAUUACCAUGAUCAAAUAAAACCCUUGGUGAAUCUUCAA